This 436-nucleotide ribosomal RNA is filed under the name Salinimicrobium oceani. RNAcentral's name for it is "Salinimicrobium sp. CDJ15-91 partial 23S ribosomal RNA". It matches the Rfam family "Bacterial large subunit ribosomal RNA", at positions 1 to 453 of the family's 2925-position model. Lineage: Bacteria; Pseudomonadati; Bacteroidota; Flavobacteriia; Flavobacteriales; Flavobacteriaceae. The record is from RNAcentral.
AUAAGCUAAAUAAGGGCGUAUGGGGAAUGCCUAGGCUCUCAGAGGCGAUGAAGGACGUGAUAAGCUGCGAAAAGCUGCGGGGACUGGCACAUACAGGUUGAUCCGCAGAUAUCCGAAUGGGGCAACCCAGCAUGUUGAAGACAUGUUACUCCGCAAGGAGGGCGAACCCGGAGAACUGAAACAUCUAAGUACCCGGAGGAGAAGAAAACAAUAGUGAUUGCGCUAGUAGUGGCGAGCGAACGCGCAUUAGCCCAAACCAUGUAGCUUACGGGCUGCAUGGGGUUGUAGGACCACGACAUUGGUUGUGUAAUGAACUAGAACGCUUUGGAAAGAGCGGCCAUAGACGGUGAUAGCCCGGUAUAGGUAAAGAUCAUAAACCAUAGUGGUAUCCUGAGUAGUGCGGGGCACGAGAAACCCUGUAUGAAUUUGGCGGGAC